This 449-nucleotide long non-coding RNA is filed under the name Homo sapiens (human). RNAcentral's name for it is "non-protein coding lnc-TREML1-1:3". Lineage: Eukaryota; Metazoa; Chordata; Mammalia; Primates; Hominidae. The record is from RNAcentral.
UUUAGAAAAAAAUAGUCUUUUAUUUUGAUAAACAUGUAGAUAGCAGUAACUAUAAAGGCUAGUAUACUUAAUAUGUACAUUAUAUCUUUUAAAGGAGAAUCUGGGGCAUUUCCUUGUGUUAUAUACAAUAACAGAAUCAUGGUCCCUUCAGGUUAUUGUUCUUUUGUUUUAAUACAUACAUCUUGAGUUUCUUCUGCAUCCUUGUUCUCCUUGACAUCAGCCACUCUGUCAAAUCUCUGUAUUCCUAAGUUUCUUUUCUAAGAGUUAUUUUCCUGCAGAAAUUCUCCUUUUAUCCAAAUCCUGGUCAAGCAGGUGUCAAAAGGUCUGAUGCUGUUAGUCAGGGACAUCAAUUCUCUCUUUUCACAUCUCAUUACAGAGGCCUUAAGCUCAGAUACCCACUGGUGAUAGACAGGGCAGGUCACACAUUGAGAGAAGAACUCCUUACAGUA